This 514-nucleotide ribosomal RNA is filed under the name uncultured bacterium. RNAcentral's name for it is "bacterial SSU rRNA". It matches the Rfam family "Bacterial small subunit ribosomal RNA", at positions 28 to 447 of the family's 1533-position model. The record is from RNAcentral.
GACGAACGCUGGCGGCGUGCUUAACACAUGCAAGUCGAACGGGUUCGGAGGUUAGAAGACAGAGGUCAGAGGUAGGAAUUAAAAAUAGAAAUCGGCUCUGCCGAUUUCAACAAAAUUCCGACAUCCGACUUCCGACUUCUGACUUCCGAUACUAGUGGCGGACGGGUGAGUAACGCGUGGGCAACCUACCCAUAAGCGGGGGAUAACAGUUGGAAACGACUGCUAAUACCGCAUAAGCUAUUAAGGUCGCAUGACCAUAAUAGUAAAGGUAGCGAAAGCUAUCACUUAUGGAUGGGCCCGCGUCUGAUUAGCUAGUUGGUGGGGUAGCAGCCUACCAAGGCAACGAUCAGUAGCCGGCCUGAGAGGGUGGACGGCCACACUGGGACUGAGACACGGCCCAGACUCCUACGGGAGGCAGCAGUGGGGAAUAUUGCGCAAUGGGGGAAACCCUGACGCAGCGACGCCGCGUGAGCGAAGAAGGCCUUAGGGUCGUAAAGCUCUGUUGUAAGGGACG